Molecule: ribosomal RNA, 250 nt
Filed under: uncultured Actinomycetales bacterium
Lineage: Bacteria; Bacillati; Actinomycetota; Actinomycetes; Actinomycetales
Description: partial 16S ribosomal RNA
Rfam family: Bacterial small subunit ribosomal RNA
Source: RNAcentral
UGGGGUGCUUGAGUGGCGAACGGGUGAGUAACACGUGAGUAACCUGCCCUUGACUUUGGGAUAACUUCAGGAAACUGGGGCUAAUACCGGAUAGGAGCUCCUGCUGCAUGGUGGGGGUUGGAAAGUUUCGGCGGUUGGGGAUGGACUCGCGGCUUAUCAGCUUGUUGGUGGGGUAGUGGCUUACCAAGGCUUUGACGGGUAGCCGGCCUGAGAGGGUGACCGGCCACAUUGGGACUGAGAUACGGCCCAG